UUUUUCUAUUUUCUUCCUUCUUUCUUUCCCAGUCUUCUCUCUUUUCUCUAAGGCGAAUCGACUGAAAACCAGAAAAAUCAAUCGAUUCUUCUCUGUUUCGCGACCCUCCCUGCCGUUAUCGUCAUCUGGAUAAUUAUCUCCACCGGCGUGACUUUGGGCUGGAGAGAUGGUCACUGGCCUGGAGAAAUCACCAGACCUCUCUUCCUCCUUUGGUAUGUUUCUUCUUCUUCGUUUUUCCUUUCAAUUCUAUCGGUGAAUACUCAAUUACGGGAAACAUUUGGCUCUCGGUAAGCUUUUUGGACCAUAUCCUCCUAAUUUUAAAUGAUAGAAAGGUUGAACGGUUACCUGUUACAAUCAGUUUUUGAUUUUUUUUUUGUAUGUAGAUGAUUGGAAUCGAUGAUUGGUUUGGAACUUGCAGUUGCAGGUUAAAAUUGCAGGGAAUGUUUAGAGGGAUGUAGUAGAAUCACUCAAAGGUAAAUUCUCAAUCUGUUAGCUCACAAAGUUAUAUUAUUACAGAAAUAUAAAAACUUUGCAGAAUGGUCGAAGGAUUGCAGAUGUUUGUUUUGAAGAAAUGGUUUAUGUGAUUAACUCCAAACCUUUUUUAUGAACUGUGAGCCUUAAUUUCAAUUUCAGUUAAUGUUUCAUGUUGUCUUCAGCAAAGUGUAUGUAUGUGGGUUUUGUAUUUUUUUUUGCAGCAAAUUUAUUAGUUUGGAUCCUAUGUAAGUAGUUUCUGCAGCAAAUUUAUUAGUUUGGAUCCUUGUCAUGGAGAUAAUCAUGAAAGUAAUGACGAUGAUGAAGCUUGAGGGAAGUUAUUAUUCUCAAGAAGAAGAAUAAGAAUCAUAUUUGUGUUUGCGGUGUUGUUCAUCAACUGGAGAGUGGUGUUCUGCAAGGUUUUAUAGCAGUGAAGAGUGGUGUUCAUGAAGUGGACACAUUGGAUUGUCUAAUUUGAAAAGAUCCGAGGUUAGAAGGAAAGUACAUGAUCAAGCCAGUGCAGAAACUAGCGGUUGUAGCCAACCUUUGCCUUGCUAGGAACCGAAAGGCGCGUCCAAAGAUGACCAAAGAUGAGUGAAUAUUAAAAGGAUCUUGUUGUCUUGUUGGUGCCAUCUCUAAUGAUACUCUGUAUGUUGCUAAUCUUGGGGACUCUAGAGCUGUUCUUGGGAGUGUUGUUCCAGGAGAUGUUAAUGAUAAAAAAAGUGCGGUAGCAGAAAGGUUAUCUACUGAUCAUAAUGUUGCUGUUGAAGAAGUUAGAAAGGAAGUUAAGGCACUUAACCCUGAUGAUUCACAAAUCGUUAUACACACUCGCGGAGUUUGGAGGAUUAAAGGCAUUAUUCAGAGCUAGUAAGCAGAACAGCUAUGGAUGUCACGAGCUUUGCUCCUCCAUGGGUCAUCUUAAGACACGCUUUCCGGUCAGUAGCAGCUUCUUGUGAACCAAUGAUCCAGAUAUAGUUGCAACUUUAAGGUACAAGUUUUGAAUGGUCUUAUAUUGUUCAUGUUGUUGGGUUAGAAAGAUUGCAGAGAUGAGAUUGACGACAGACAGAUGGGUUUUCGAGGAUGCUAAGACAAAGAAUGUGGAACAUGUCUUGAUCUUGACUGGGGAUCAUCUCUAUCGGAUGGAUUACAUGAACUUUGUGCAGGUUAGACUUAUUCUUCUUAUUUGAAUGAAUAUGUUGUUGUUUGACUUUGGUUUUGCGGACAAGAAGUCAGUGUCAGUUUUGCGGACAAGAAGUCAGUUUCGUGUUGAGGACUUUGGUUUUGCGGACAAGAAGUGACUUUGGCAUUGUUGUUUGAAUGAAUAUGUUGUUGUUUGACUUCAGUUUCAGUUUCAGUUUUUGUUGCAUGAGCUUUUGCGGACAAAAAGUAGACAAAUAUAUUAUGAGUUUAGCGGACAAGGAGACAAAGAUAUAAUGGCAAGGCUCUAUUUAGCAUUUGGUUCAGACUCUGUUUUCUACCAAAAAUCCCAGUUUUUCUUGCUUAAAGUGCAAGCUUUUUCUUCUUCCUCUUUUGUAAAUCAAGUUUUUAAAAAUUCAAAUUAAGAACUUUGAAUUAAAAACUU
Camelina sativa (false flax) is the source of this 2053-nucleotide RNA transcript. RefSeq lists it as uncharacterized. Lineage: Eukaryota; Viridiplantae; Streptophyta; Magnoliopsida; Brassicales; Brassicaceae. The record is from RefSeq and is a predicted model, not a curated record.